GUGGGGAAUAUUGGACAAUGGGCGAAAGCCUGAUCCAGCCAUGCCGCGUGAGUGAUGAAGGCCUUAGGGUUGUAAAGCUCUUUCAGUAGGGAAGAUAAUGAUGGUACCUACAGAAGAAGCCCCGGCUAACUUCGUGCCAGCAGCCGCGGUAAUACGAAGGGGGCUAGCGUUGUUCGGAUUUACUGGGCGUAAAGCGCACGUAGGCGGAUCGUUAAGUCGGGGGUGAAAUCCUGGAGCUCAACUCCAGAACUGCCUUCGAUACUGGCGAUCUUGAGUCCGGAAGAGGUGAGUGGAACUCCUAGUGUAGAGGUGGAAUUCGUAGAUAUUAGGAAGAACACCAGUGGCGAAGGCGGCUCACUGGUCCGGUACUGACGCUGAGGUGCGAAAGCGUGGGGAGCAAACAGGAUUAGAUACCCCUGUAGUCC
This 425-nucleotide ribosomal RNA is filed under the name uncultured bacterium. Its description in RNAcentral is "partial 16S ribosomal RNA". It matches the Rfam family "Bacterial small subunit ribosomal RNA", at positions 354 to 796 of the family's 1533-position model. The record is from RNAcentral.